Molecule: small RNA, 430 nt
Filed under: Xanthomonas campestris pv. campestris
Lineage: Bacteria; Pseudomonadati; Pseudomonadota; Gammaproteobacteria; Lysobacterales; Lysobacteraceae
Description: ncRNA of unknown function
Source: RNAcentral
AAUCUGCACAAUGGUCGCGCUCGUUCAAUCUUUUCCACACACGGGCAAUGGUUUGCAGUGUGCUUCGGAUGUAUGGAACGUUCGCUCCUCGCAGGGAUCGGCCACGUCAAGUGCGUACAUUGCGCAAUCGUUGCCAGGUUCAGCUGCACGCCAUCCAGGUGAGCGUGGCCGCAGGCGUUACGCUUGCGCAGCCACAAAAGAAGGCCGCCUCCCUCGCGGGAAGCGGCCUGGCCGGUCCGCUGGAGCAGACCGGUGCAACACGGAUGACGCGUUGGGCGUAGAGCGGCUAACAAGACGUAGCGAGCAGCCGCCAGGUGGGUGCGGCCGGCGCGGAGGAACCGGAGUACGGCGGUACAUGCCGAGUCCGACCACUGGCCACGCGCGCCUGGCGGCUGCGCAGUCGUUUUGAUGGCUGCUCUUAGAACUCCUG